UGGCGGCGUGCUAUAAUGCAAGUCGAACGCUUUUUCUUUCACCGGAGCUUGCUCCACCGAAAGAAAAAGAGUGGCGAACGGGUGAGUAACACGUGGGUAACCUGCCCAUCAGAAGGGGAUAACACUUGGAAACAGGUGCUAAUACCGUAUAACAAGUAAAACCGCAUGGUUUUACUUUGAAAGGCGCUUUUGCGUCACUGAUGGAUGGACCCGCGGUGCAUUAGCUAGUUGGUGAGGUAACGGCUCACCAAGGCAACGAUGCAUAGCCGACCUGAGAGGGUGAUCGGCCACAUUGGGACUGAGACACGGCCCAAACUCCUACGGGAGGCAGCAGUAGGGAAUCUUCGGCAAUGGACGAAAGUCUGACCGAGCAACGCCGCGUGAGUGAAGAAGGUUUUCGGAUCGUAAAACUCUGUUGUUAGAGAAGAACAA
RNAcentral lists this ribosomal RNA (432 nucleotides) under Enterococcus sp. BPMP3. RNAcentral describes it as "bacterial SSU rRNA". It matches the Rfam family "Bacterial small subunit ribosomal RNA", at positions 37 to 452 of the family's 1533-position model. Lineage: Bacteria; Bacillati; Bacillota; Bacilli; Lactobacillales; Enterococcaceae. The record is from RNAcentral.